AAUCUGUUUGAUCCUGGCAGAGGCUACUGCUAUUGGGGUUCGAUUAAGCCAUGCAAGUCGAACGAAUUUAUAUUCGUGGCGUACGGCUCAGUAACACGUGGAUAACCUACCCUUAGG
Molecule: ribosomal RNA, 117 nt
Organism: Methanobrevibacter filiformis
Lineage: Archaea; Methanobacteriati; Methanobacteriota; Methanobacteria; Methanobacteriales; Methanobacteriaceae
Rfam family: Archaeal small subunit ribosomal RNA
Source: Rfam